RNAcentral lists this ribosomal RNA (469 nucleotides) under uncultured bacterium. RNAcentral's name for it is "partial 16S ribosomal RNA". It matches the Rfam family "Bacterial small subunit ribosomal RNA", at positions 28 to 507 of the family's 1533-position model. The record is from RNAcentral.
GACGAACGCUGGCGGCGUGCUUAACACAUGCAAGUCGAACGGAAAGGCCCUGCUUGCAGGGUGCUCGAGUGGCGAACGGGUGAGUAACACGUGGGUGAUCUGCCCCUUACUUUGGGAUAAGCCUGGGAAACUGGGUCUAAUACUGGAUAGGACCAUGCUGUAGGUGGUGUGGUGGAAAGAUUAGUUUCGGUAGGGGAUGAGCUCGCGGCCUAUCAGCUUGUUGGUGGGGUAAUGGCCUACCAAGGCGUCGACGGGUAGCCGGCCUGAGAGGGUGGACGGCCACAUUGGGACUGAGAUACGGCCCCGACUCCUACGGGAGGCAGCAGUGGGGAAUAUUGCACAAUGGGCGCAAGCCUGAUGCAGCGACGCCGCGUGGGGGAUGACGGCCUUCGGGUUGUAAACUCCUUUCAGCCAUGACGAAGCCCUUGUGGUGACGGUAGUGGUAGAAGAAGCACCGGCUAACUACGUG